Molecule: unclassified non-coding RNA, 348 nt
Filed under: soil metagenome
Description: partial contains 5.8S ribosomal RNA, internal transcribed spacer 2, and large subunit ribosomal RNA
Rfam family: 5.8S ribosomal RNA (bases 1-120)
Source: RNAcentral
GAUGAAGAACGUAGCGAGAUGCGAUAAGUAAUGUGAAUUGCAGAAUUCAGUGAAUCAUCGAAUCUUUGAACGCACAUUGCGCCCGCCAGUAUUCUGGCGGGCAUGCCUGUCUGAGCGUCAUUUCAACCCUCAUGCCCCUAGGGCGUGGUGUUGGGGAUCGGCCAAAGCCCGCGAGGGACGGCCGGCCCCUAAAUCUAGUGGCGGACCCGUCGUGGCCUCCUCUGCGAAGUAGUGAUAUUCCGCAUCGGAGAGCGAUGAGCCCCUGCCGUUAAACCCCCAACUUUCCAAGGUUGACCUCAGAUCAGGUAGGAAUACCCGCUGAACUUAAGCAUAUCAAUAAGCGGAGGA